UUCAUAGUGCGUGGCUACGUCCCCAGCACCUAAUGUAGGCCUGGUGCUGUAUAGAGAAUAGAGUACUUGGAAAGAGAGAAGGAAUGAGGAAAGUAGAUGGGUGGGUGUAAAACAGAAAAAAAGGAGAGCUAGAAUUGCAACCCCAUAGAGUUCUAAAAGCAUUGUACAGACAAUGCACAGCUUAACCAUAUUAUGGAAUGUUGUUAUGCCUUCUCCCCGCUCCAGUACAUACACACAUUCAUUUGUUCUUUCAUGGAGCAGGGACCAACCUCAUUAUAAAAGCCUCUCCUCUGAUCUAAUUUUGAAAGUUUCUACAGUGGACUAAAAGGCCAUUCAAUUCAUGGCCCUGCAAGUAACUUACUUGGGGCAGUUGUGAAAUCCUUUGUAUCUCACAUGAUGUUUCACUGACAGUGAAAAGAUCUCAUUUGUCUGCAGCUGCUAGUCAGGAAUAGCAAGGUUGGAAAGGGAGGUGAGUGGACGCCUAGGGGCACAGUUCGGCUUCUCAGAUUAACACCCGCCAUCCCUCCACCAGCCCUGGAUAUGUGAGUUGCUUGCUAGAAAUUGAUCUGAAAACCAGAUGGCGUCCAUCUCAGGGACAAGAUAUCAUGGUUCUUAAGAAUUCAAGUACAAGGAUCUUCGAAGUGAGCCACACUGUCAUCACCGUCACCAAGGGGAAAGGAAUCAAAUGAUUCAAGAGGAAGGGACUGUUGCUUCAUUCACCGUCCAACAGAAGCAUAUAUUACAUUCUUAUACAGAACGGAACACUGCUAAGGAUUUCGACCAAAUGCAACUCAUGCCACCAACAGUAUUUUUAUGAUCUACCUACUAUGGGGCUGAAAAAUGAAGAUGGAAAUAAGCAAAUCUAUAGAAAAGUAAUAAAAUUAAAAAAUAAGAGGUAUGUCUAUGCUCUACAGUAGAUAUGAAUUUGAAAACUGUCCCUUGACUUUGAAAACUGCCCCUAAGAGGUGACUGCUAAUAAAUUAAUCUAGCCCUGAAUCUGACUUGUCACAAAAGGGUCAGCUUUAAGAAACCAUAGGCUCACUCAGCUGGCAAAAGUGCACGUUUGGAUGUGGGUGUAUUUUUAGUGAUCCAGUCCGAGUGCUUUGACUCCCAGCAGGUCUUUUGCAGAUAUUGUGGAGAAAGCCACCCGGGUGACUCUGAGAAGACAGUGUGAGUCAGAACCAUUGUUAAUGAUGCUGUUAUCUGGGAGAGGAUAUGGACUUGUUUGGGGUUCAUUUUCAUGGUCCAACACCAUGGUCCUGGAAAACCUGUGGACACAAGCUUUUUCCCUAGAACCUUGGCCUCUAAGGAGGAACAGCAAGAAUCCUGAACAAGUUCUGAAUUCUCUGCAGCUGCCUCUGUAGCCUGCACAUGAGACAGAGGAGGCUGGAUCCACCACUGGGCCACCACGAAGUUCUCCUAGAACAACAGUUGUGUAGUAAUCUAAGUCUGCAGUAUUAUCUACCUAUACCUAUGGACCAAAUUCAUCCAAAGCGCAAACUGCAGACUAGACAGCAGCUGCGGAAGACCCCAGGCACAGGCACGGCCACCCACGACAUUCACACCUGUCCAUUUAGGAGGAGCAAAGGCAAUUCAGGUGGUGGAAGCUCAUGUGCAUCAAUGGAACACCUUUUAUAGAAACACCACCCAAAAUGUGUCCCAGAGGUCACCGGUUUCAAGAGAUGUCCUCCAAAAGAAGGGUUCCAAAGUCCAGGGAGUAAAGGGCAAAGGCUACACGUGUCUACUUUCUGGAGACUCACAGUGAGCAGCGGUCCCAACCUGGCUGCAUGGCAGGACCCCGGGGACGUUCCCCUGAGCCUUCCUAAACGCACGCUCCUAAGCCCACUCCUGGAGGUGCUGACUCAGGAUGACUGGCUAACGCAAAACGGUCUGUUUCUAAAUGCAUCACAGGUGAUCUGAUGUAACUAGUUUGCUACCCACUGCUCAUCAUAAAUGCUCUGAGAAGUCCUUCAGGAAAGGAACCUGUUUACUGUGAUUAUCUUAGAGCCCUCCAAAUUGGCUUGAUCACAGAAACUUUAAGGCAUCCACAGAUGUACUUUGGGUGAUGCGACCCAAGACAGUGAGAACUUUCACCACGGGCCUAUCCAGUCCCAGCCACAGCCUACCCUGUGCUCCAGUUCCUAGAGAUAUGUUUCAAACUAUGAAUCGCAACCCAAUCAUGGGUCUUAACCACUAUGUUAAAAGCAAAAACUUAAGAGAAAAGGAUAGAAAAUACCAGAGUGUGGUGCAAAUAAGAGUAGGUAUUACUACGUGAAAUGUGUGUGCUGGAUCAUAAGCAGAAACAGUUUCUAUACUGAAGGUUGUGGCCCAAACUGGGAAAGCCCUAGUCCCAGAGGAAGUCCAAGGAGCGACUUUGCCAGUGGCAAGACUGGUCUUGACAUCCGGGCAGGGCAGGAAAACGGGCUCAGCAAUGCUAUUUCUUACAUCAUUGUGUCCUAGGAUGAGAACCAGCUUUUAACUCUGACACUGGAAAUGAUGGUAUGUAACAUAUUAAGAAGCCAUAAAACCUUACCCCAAGGAGUCAUAAUUACAAUAAGCUACUUGCAAAUAACUUAGAGCCACCCCAGCACCCACAGCACCUUGUCCCCAGGCACUCCUGCCGACUGGCUUGUGAACCAGAGGUACCAGAAACCCUGUGUUUCCAGUCAUGGAACACCAGUCCAGAAGGAAAUGGUUCUACAUUAUCUGCUCACAGACACCUAAUGUGAUAUCUUUUGCAAUUUUUAGCUCUUCAGACUUCAUUUUUAGUUAUAGUUCAUAACACUUUUUUCUAAGUGAGAAAUUUGCAAUUGUUUCACAAGGUUUUAGGGUGGUUUGAAACUGAGGAUUUUAUCUUCUAAUUUCCUCUGAACAGCCCUUGCAAGAGGCAGGUUUUUU
Lemur catta (Ring-tailed lemur) is the source of this 2898-nucleotide long non-coding RNA. RefSeq lists it as uncharacterized. The record is from RefSeq and is a predicted model, not a curated record. Lineage: Eukaryota; Metazoa; Chordata; Mammalia; Primates; Lemuridae. The transcript has 5 exons.